Molecule: ribosomal RNA, 449 nt
Filed under: uncultured bacterium
Lineage: Bacteria
Description: partial 16S ribosomal RNA
Rfam family: Bacterial small subunit ribosomal RNA
Source: RNAcentral
AGCGAACGCUGGCGGCAGGCUUAACACAUGCAAGUCGAACGCAUCCUUCGGGGUGAGUGGCAGACGGGUGAGUAACGCGUGGGAACAUGCCCUUUGGUUCGGAAUAACUCAGGGAAACUUGAGCUAAUACCGGAUAAGCCCUUUUGGGGAAAGAUUUAUCGCCGAAGGAUUGGCCCGCGUCCGAUUAGCUAGUUGGUGAGGUAAUGGCUCACCAAGGCGACGAUCGGUAGCUGGUCUGAGAGGAUGAUCAGCCACACUGGGACUGAGACACGGCCCAGACUCCUACGGGAGGCAGCAGUGGGGAAUAUUGGACGAUGGGGGCAACCCUGAUCCAGCCAUGCCGCGUGAGUGAUGAAGGCCCUAGGGUUGUAAAGCUCUUUCGGCGGGGACGAUAAUGACGGUACCCGCAGAAGAAGCCCCGGCUAACUUCGUGCCAGCCGCCGCAGUAA